RNAcentral lists this ribosomal RNA (253 nucleotides) under uncultured bacterium. Its description in RNAcentral is "partial 16S ribosomal RNA". It matches the Rfam family "Bacterial small subunit ribosomal RNA", at positions 524 to 776 of the family's 1533-position model. The record is from RNAcentral.
UACGUAGGGUGCGAGCGUUAAUCGGAAUUACUGGGCGUAAAGCGUGCGCAGGCGGUUUUGUAAGCCAGAUGUGAAAUCCCCGGGCUUAACCUGGGAAUGGCAUUUGGGACUGCAAGGCUUGAGUGCGGCAGAGGAGACUGGAAUUCCUGGUGUAGCAGUGAAAUGCGUAGAUAUCAGGAGGAACACCGAUGGCGAAGGCAGGUCUCUGGGCUGACACUGAAGCUCAUGCACGAAAGCGUGGGGAGCAAACAGG